Long non-coding RNA from Saccoglossus kowalevskii, 697 nucleotides. NCBI's taxonomy places the organism in Eukaryota, Metazoa, Hemichordata, Enteropneusta, Harrimaniidae. The record is from RefSeq and is a predicted model, not a curated record.
AAUGCAUGAUGAAGAACAGUGUGGAGACUUCGCUGCAGGACUAGAAGUGUUUGGAGUAAAACCUGGCGUUGCUUGUUUUUCUGGUAUUGAUGCGGCUGAAACCUAUUCCAAACAUGGUCCAGUAUCGGGAGAGUGUACUGAAUUUGAUCGACACGUGUUUGCUUACAUCAAAAGAAGUGUAACAUGCCAAAAGGAGAUGAUGAAUCUCGAAUGUAAUUAUGGUAAAAUCCGCAUUUUAUCUGCAGUAUACGGGCAUGGCGGCGAUCUUGAUGUUUGUGGUAACGAAGUGAAUGGUCCAAUUCAAUGUGAGUUCGACGUAGUGGACAUAGUAAAGGACAUAUGCGAAGGUAAACCAACGUGUUCGAAAAACACCGUCAUGAAAGUAUAUGGUAAUCCAUGUGCUUCGGAAGAUGGUCACCAGGAUAAAUACCUUGAAGUCAAAUAUUAUUGUGGACAGUAACUUCCAUCAAAACCAACAGCCACCACUAUUUAGGGUAACCGUUGUAAUAGCUAAAGUACAUCAACCUAAGUUAGAAUAAUCAUCCGAGAUGCAUCACUACGUUAACAGACGAUAAUAUGAUCGCUAAUUUUCUCUGAACAUUAACAGCUCGCGUAAUUAUUCAACAAUUCCAUUCGUUAGCAAAAUUAACUUAGUGUAACCAUUUGAAUAUACUGAAUAAAAACCUUUUCCCAGCCA